GUAAUUGUCCGCUCACUUCAACCACACCGAUCACCACAAGCAGUUACACAACACCCCAACCAUGUGGCUGGUCCCGCUGGUAUAACACUGACACACCAAACAUUGGUACUGGAGACUUUGAAACUAUUGCAAGAUUAAAGAAUGUUUAUGGUGUGUGUAAGAAUAUGAUAGAUAUUGAAUGUAGAGUAGCAGAUUCUAAUACACCAUCAUCAGCUAUUACUCAAACUAAUGUUAAAUGUGAUAUGCACAAUGGUCUCAGUUGUUACAACAGUGAGCAGAAGCAGAAAAAAUGUUACGAUUAUGAAGUUCGUGUUCUUUGUUGGAAUGAAUAUUGUGGAGUUACUACAACUCCUGGAACACAGACAACAAGCCCUGGAACACACACAACAGUACAAACAACAACACCUGUUUGUCCACCUUAUCAGAUUUUUGUAAAGUGUGCUUAUAAAUGUAGAGAACUGUGUACCAAUAUGUUACAGUCGAUCAAAAUCUGUGAUCUAAAUGAUUGCGUCCCAGGUUGUAAGAACAUAUCAGAUGUUCACAAACCUGCGUGUCCUGAUGGCUAUAAAUUGAGUGAUCGAAAUACUUGUGUUAAAACAGAGAUGUGUCCAUGUCUUAAACAAGAUGGCAGCUUAGCUCAGCCAUUUGAACAUUGGACAAACCCCAGUAAGGAAUGUUCAACAUGCCAUUGUUUUAAUAACUCUGUACAAUGUUAUACGGACAGUCCAUGUAAAACAACCAAUACCAUCACUGCUUCCACCAUCUCACAGCCAUCCUGUCAUUGGACAGGUUGGAUGAAUAUUGAUAAACC
Long non-coding RNA from Patella vulgata (common limpet), 811 nucleotides. RefSeq lists it as uncharacterized. The transcript is spliced from 7 exons. Lineage: Eukaryota; Metazoa; Mollusca; Gastropoda; Patellidae. The record is from RefSeq and is a predicted model, not a curated record.